GUCCAGAGAUGGGAAUCGAACCCACAGUGUUCCGCUUACUGGGCAGAUGCCAUGUCCACUAGGCUACCCUGGA
Molecule: non-coding RNA, 73 nt
Organism: Cordylochernes scorpioides
Lineage: Eukaryota; Metazoa; Arthropoda; Arachnida; Pseudoscorpiones; Chernetidae
Source: the annotation of a GenBank genome assembly